GACUGUGCUAAGGUAGCAUAAUAAUUUGGCCUUUAAUUGGGGUCUUGUAUGAACGAAUAAACCUGGGAUAGCUGUCUUUAAGUUAAUUUAAUAAACUUUCUCAUAAGGUGAAAAUUCCUUAUAAAUAAGAUAGACGAGAAGACCCUUAGAUUUAAUAGGAAUAUAUUUAUAAAUUAAUUAGUUCUGUUUGUUGGGGCGACAAAGCAUCAUAUAACAUACUUAUCAUAUUUUCAAUAAAUCUGUUUAUUUCAAUAAAAAUCUAAAUACCUAAGGGAUAACAGCAUAAUUUCACUAUUAGAUUGUGACCUCGAUGUUGGACUAGGA
RNAcentral lists this ribosomal RNA (324 nucleotides) under Drymaeus sp. RR-2010. RNAcentral's name for it is "partial 16S ribosomal RNA". Lineage: Eukaryota; Metazoa; Mollusca; Gastropoda; Stylommatophora; Orthalicidae. The record is from RNAcentral.